Molecule: long non-coding RNA, 334 nt
Filed under: Lathyrus oleraceus (garden pea)
Lineage: Eukaryota; Viridiplantae; Streptophyta; Magnoliopsida; Fabales; Fabaceae
Description: Pisum sativum (pea) long non-coding RNA (PSAT_LNC006854)
Source: RNAcentral
AAAUGAAGGGUAAAUUUUGGGGUAUUACAGCUGCCCCUAUUCAAUCAACUGGAGACCCGGAAAGAAGAUGACAGCUGCUUUCAUGCUUUCGAGGUAUCAAGGGAUUGAAUACAAUAAAAGCCCAAAAAUUUGCACUGAAGUGAAGUGAAGUCACAAUGCCUGUCAGAAUCGGCAAAGAGGUGGUCUUGAAAGAAGAAUCUGUCUGGUACACAGAAAUAACCAUGGCUUGAAUGCCGCUCAUCAGUCUGAAUACUGGAAAGGAUUUCGAUCUGAACAUCGGAAAAUGGGCCUGAAUGCCACAAGUCGCAUCGACCUGAACGUCGGAACCUUCUUC